Molecule: ribosomal RNA, 357 nt
Filed under: uncultured bacterium
Lineage: Bacteria
Description: bacterial SSU rRNA
Rfam family: Bacterial small subunit ribosomal RNA
Source: RNAcentral
ACUCCUACGGGAGGCAGCAGUGGGGAAUAUUGCACAAUGGGGGAAACCCUGAUGCAGCCAUGCCGCGUGUGUGAAGAAGGCCUUCGGUUGUAAAGACACUUUCAGUAGGGAGGAAGGUAGUGUAGUUAACACCUGCACUAUUUGACGUUACCUACAGAAGAAGCACCGGCUAACUCCGUGCCAGCAGCCGCGGUAAUACGGAGGGGUGCGAGCGUUAAUCGGAAUUACUGGGCGUAAAGCGCAUGCAGGCGGCCUGUUAAGUCAGAUGUGAAAGCCCGGGGGCUUAACCUCGGAAUUGCAUUUGAAACUGGCAGGCUAGAGUCUUGUAGAGGGGGUAGGAAUUUCAGGUGUAGCGGU